ACCUUUUUACUCUUGGUGCAAAUUUUAAUUCCUUGUGGGUCUACUUAAGUAUUUUUUAUAGGUAAGAUGGGUUCUAAUUUAAAUUUUUUAUUUUCUCGAGAUAUUCACUAAUUGCAAGUAAUGUUUUUCAACUCUAGCUCCUGGUCAAAUAUUUACUUAAAACGUUGAUCCUUUUGGGACUAAACAAUAAAAUUUUGGUCCCACAAUAUGAUCUUAUUGUCACCAAUUUUAUUAUUAUUUUUCUCUCUGUCAGUUCAAUAGAAAGCUUUUUUUGUUCCCCUAAAGCAGCCGUUGCAAACAUAGACCAAUUAAUCAACCAUUUUUUCCAAAAGAAGAUUGUGAUCUUAUAUUUUAGUAAAUUAAUUUCAAUCACAAUUUCAUAAGGUCGACAACUUUUCAAUUACACAUUUCAUCUAUUUUUAUCAAAUUUAUUAAAAAUUUAAUUUUAAUUCCCACCAAACAAGGGCCAAAUAAGACCAAUUGAAAAUAAGUCCAUUAUUACUUAUAGAGUCACCACUUGAAGGUAUGAACAUUCUGUAAUACAUUUUUAAGAAAAAUAAAUUACAAGUUUAAAUUUUGGGACUUGGGAUAUGCUGCUACAAAUUUGUUGUCUCGUUGUCUGUCAUUUUCAAUAUAUUUAGUACAUCACAUUUUUUGAUAAAUGAGAAAAUGUUAAUGUGUUGUGUCAAAAAUGUGUUAGGAUUAUUUUAUUUUUUAUUUUUUAAAGAAUAAUUGAGAUACUCGAGUGUCAAAAAUAUAUUGG
This 763-nucleotide long non-coding RNA is filed under the name Olea europaea subsp. europaea. The record is from RNAcentral. Lineage: Eukaryota; Viridiplantae; Streptophyta; Magnoliopsida; Lamiales; Oleaceae.